This 478-nucleotide ribosomal RNA is filed under the name uncultured bacterium. Its description in RNAcentral is "partial 16S ribosomal RNA". It matches the Rfam family "Bacterial small subunit ribosomal RNA", at positions 28 to 523 of the family's 1533-position model. The record is from RNAcentral.
GACGAACGCUGGCGGCGUGCUCAACACAUGCAAGUCGAGCGAUGAAGCUCCUUCGGGAGUGGAUUAGCGGCGGACGGGUGAGUAACACGUGGGCAACCUGCCUUAUAGAGAGGAAUAGCCAUUCGAAAGGAUGAUUAAUACCUCAUAAUAUUGUAGCUUCGCAUGGAGCAACAAUCAAAGGAGCAAUCCACUAUAAGAGGGGCCCGCGGCGCAUUAGCUAGUUGGUGAGGUAACGGCUCACCAAGACGACGAUGCGUAGCCGACCUGAGAGGGUGAUCGGCCACAUGGGGACUGAGACACGGCCCAGACUCCUACGGGAGGCAGCAGUGGGGAAUAUUGCACAAUGGGGGAAACCCUGAUGCAGCAACGCCGCGUGAGUGAUGACGGCCUUCGGGUUGUAAAGCUCUGUCUUCAGGGACGAUAAUGACGGUACCUGAGGAGGAAGCCUCGGCUAACUACGUGCCAGCCGCCGCGGUAA